Y RNA from Callithrix jacchus (white-tufted-ear marmoset), 101 nucleotides. It matches the Rfam family "Y RNA". From Rfam's summary of the family: Y RNAs are components of the Ro ribonucleoprotein particle (Ro RNP), in association with Ro60 and La proteins. The Y RNAs and Ro60 and La proteins are well conserved, but the function of the Ro RNP is not known. In humans the RNA component can be one of four small RNAs -- hY1, hY3, hY4 and hY5. The record is from Ensembl. NCBI's taxonomy places the organism in Eukaryota, Metazoa, Chordata, Mammalia, Primates, Cebidae.
GGUAGUCUGAGUGCAGUGGUAUUCACAACUAAUUGAUCAUAAGCAUUUACAGAUUUAUUUGCUCCUUCUCCACUCUUACUGCUUCGUUUGACUAGUCUUUU